GUAUACGGCCAUGCCAUCCUGAAUGCACGGGUUCUCUUCUGAUCUCAGAAGCUAAGCAGGGUCGGGCCUGCUUAGUACUUGAAUGAGAGAUAGUGAAAUACCUGGUUGGCAGGUUUAAU
This is a ribosomal RNA of Bison bison bison, 119 nucleotides long. NCBI's taxonomy places the organism in Eukaryota, Metazoa, Chordata, Mammalia, Artiodactyla, Bovidae. The record is from Ensembl.